UGCCCUGCAGCUCCCUACGAGGGCGGAGUGUGGAAAGUCAGAGUGGACCUUCCCGAUAAAUAUCCCUUCAAAUCCCCAUCCAUAGGAUUCAUGAAUAAAAUUUUCCAUCCCAACAUCGACGAGGCGUCAGGAACUGUCUGUCUAGAUGUAAUCAAUCAAACCUGGACAGCUCUCUAUGGUGAGUCGGGAAUGGAUGUGAUUCCAGGACCCUUUUUUUUGGGAAUUUUUACGGAAUUUUC
Corapipo altera (White-ruffed manakin) is the source of this 239-nucleotide long non-coding RNA. RefSeq lists it as uncharacterized. Lineage: Eukaryota; Metazoa; Chordata; Aves; Passeriformes; Pipridae. The transcript is spliced from 3 exons. The record is from RefSeq and is a predicted model, not a curated record.